RNAcentral lists this long non-coding RNA (3660 nucleotides) under Marmota monax (woodchuck). The record is from RNAcentral. Lineage: Eukaryota; Metazoa; Chordata; Mammalia; Rodentia; Sciuridae.
UGGCAGCCCAACUCCUCCCUCACUUCUGCACACCAGGUAUCCCCUCAGAGUAUCUUCUUUGUCCCCUCCUUUAGUCCAGGUCUCUUCUCUGAGGAUCUACUCACCUGGGACAGAGGAGCAGAAUUGGCUUGCUUCUGCGCCCUGAAUGCUCCCUAUGGGAAACACAGCCCUGCCACUCGCCUGAGUUCUCUUCACUUACUGAACCUUCAGGCCUGGCAGUUAACAUGAACUUGCUCCAACCCAGCCCUGAGCCAUCCUCUCCCUUCUCUCCCCUGCACUCUGGCCUUGCAUGCUGCCUCUACCACAACCCAGCCCUCUAUACCCCUGACCCUUUGCACUCUAGUCCCUGGGACUGGGCAUUCGCCUGAGCCCCUGACAGUGUUCCUCAUGGCCCUUGGCAUACAAAGGAGUCUCUUCGUGUUGGGUCUGACCUGGGGGCCCCUUGCUUGGGCCCACCAGUGGGCUCCCCUGGGUGCCCCUUGGCUUCUCCUGGUCCUCACACAGGCCUUUCCUCCUCUUCCCCUCACGCUUUAUUCUGGCACUCGCAGGUCUCCUGCUCUUUGGGUCCCCCAUCACCAUCGAUCGGGUGGGUCCCUUGCCUGGGCACCUGGCUUUGGUCCUGGCUCUCACCACUAUGCGCACCCACUCUGACCCUCUGCCAUGUUCCUGUUACCCUCUUUCUGGCCUCUUCCUUUUCCUGGCCUACUUUGUCAGAACCCUAGCCCUGGAUUCUCAUCUGAUCCAGGAUGACUUAUGGGAAAAAUGACCUGCCCCUCAUGUGGGCCCCUUGGUCUCCCUGGGUGCUUGGUCCUGCACCAAAAACCCUGAAACCUGGAGGUGGCCCUGAGCCUGGAGUCUGACUGCCCCCUGUUGGAUACCCUGCCUUCCCUCCCAAAUCUUGUCCACUCUCCUGAGCCCCCUGCCCAAGCCCUGGCCCUUGCUCUCCAUUCCCUGGAAUGGCUCCUCACUUGAGCCUCUGGUAGUGCUUCGUGCUCACUGGUUUCUGGGCAUUUCCUGAGGGCCCCUUGUUGGGUCUGCUUUCUUGUUCCCCUUGGCUUCCCUGUACUUCAGUGCCCUAGUACAGCCCCACCUUCCAGGCCUGGUGUUCCCUGCUCUCCUCUGGCCUGGGCCCUCCUCUAGUUCCCUUGCCUGGACUCCUUGCUGGGGUCCUGGUGCUGAUCCCACCCACACCCAUCCUGUGGAACUUCAGGCUGUGCCCUCCUUCGGCCCUCCUGUCCUUUCUGUCUCUGCCACGCCCGCUUUCCUGAUCCCCUUCCAGUUUCCUCACCUGGGCUAGGCUACUUGAUCUGGUCUCUUGGCCAUGGGAACUCCCUUUGGGAAAACGUAGCCCUGCCCCUUGCCUGGGCCCUUUGGCCUCCCUCACUCCAGGCCAUGUUCCUGAGCCCUGACACCCUACAGUGGACAUGGGCCUUGAGCCCUUCUCCCCCUGUAGCACCUACUCCACAUUCCCCCCUCUAUCUGCACCCCCUCCAUGUUUUCUUUCAUUCACCCAGGCAUAGGUGCAAGCACUUGGCUCUCCAUUACUGGGCCUACACCUUGCUUGAGCCCCUAGCUACCCAGAAUUCCAGAGGACCCUUUCCCUGUCUCUUUGGUUUCAGGCCCCUUUUGCUGGCCCCCUCCUGUGCCUCCCCUCUGAUCCCUUCAUGCUGUGGUAUCCUGGCACUGUCUGGACCCUCAGCUCUCCCUUCUUCUCCCUAGCCUAUGCUGCUCGAAUGGGUCCUGGCAUCGUGACCCCCCCACUUCCACACACCCAGUAUCCUCUCAUAGUACCCUCUUUGUCCCCUCCUUUGCUCUAGGUCCCUCUAUGAGGAUCUACUCACCUGGGGCAAGGAGCAGAAUUGGCUCUCCUCUUCACCCUGAAUGCUUCCUAUAGGAAACACAGCCUUGCCACUCGUCUGAGUCCCCUUCACUGCCUGAACCUUGGGGCCUGGCAAUUAACAUGGAACUUGCUCAACCCAGCCCUGAACAAUCCACUCCCUUCCCUUCCCUGCUCUCUGGACUUGCAUGCUGCCCCUACCACACCCAGCCCUCCCUAACCCUGACCCUUUGAGCUCCAGUCCCUGGGAAUGGGCAUUUACCUGAGCCCCUGACCAUGUUCCUUAUGGCCCUUGGCAAAGAAAGGAGUCUCUUCAUGUUGGAUCUGACCUGGGGAACCCUUGCUUGGGCCCACCAGUGGGCUCCCCUAGGUGCCCUUGGCUUCUCCUGGUCCUCACGCAGACCCUUCCUUCCCUUCCCCUCGUGAUUUUUUUCUGGCACUCACGGGUUCCUGAUCCUUGGGUCCCACAUACCAUGUAUUGGGUGGGUCUCUUGCCUGGGUACCUGGCUUGGGUCCUGGCUGUCACCCCUAUGUGCAUCUGCCCUGACCGUCUGCUGUUCCUUCUCGUCGCCCUCCUUCUGCCCCCCUUCCUUUUCCUGGCCUCCUUUGCCAGGACUCUGGCCAUAGAUUCUCAUCUGAUUCAGGGCGCCUUAUGGGAAACAAUGCCCUGCCUCUCCCCUGGGACCAUUGAUUUACUUGGGUGCUUGGUCCUCCAUCAGCAACCCUGAAACCUGGAGGUGGCUCUGGGCCUGGAGCCUGACUGCCCCCUGCUGAAUCCCCUGCCUUCCUUCACACAUCUUGUCCACUGUCCUGAGCCCCCUGUCCAAGCCCAGGCCCUUUGCUCUCAGCUCCCUGGCCUGGAUCCUUGCUUGAGCCUCUGGUGGCCCUUCUUGCUCACUGCUUUUCUGGGCAUUAUCUGAAGGCUCCUCGCUGGGGCUGCUUCCCUGUUCCCCUUGGCUUCCCUGUACUGCAGUAUCCUGUGCAGCCCCAUCUUCCCAGCCUAGUGUUCCCUGCUUUCACUGGCAUAGGCCCUCCUCUAGGUCCCUUGCCUGGGUUCUUUUCUGGGGUCCUGGCCCCCACUACAUGCCUAUGGCCCUUCAGGCUGUGCCCUCCUUCGACACUCCUGUCCUUUCCGUUUCUGCCAUGCCUGCUUUCCUUAUCCCCUUCCCAGGAUGCUCACCCGGGCCAAGUGACCUGACCUGGCCUCUUGGCCCUGGCAGCUCCCUUUGGGAAAACAUAGCCCUGCCCCUUGCCUGGGCCUUUUGGCCUCCCUCAGCCCUUGCCCUACUCCUGACCCCUGACACCCUGCAAUGGACCUGGGCCUUGAUCCCUUCAACCCCUAUGCCACCCAUUCCACUUUCUCCCCUCCCGCAGCUCACCCUCCAUUUUUCCUUUCAUUCUCCCAGGCCCAGGUGCUACCACUUGGCUCUCCAUUACUGGGCCUGGCUCCUUGCUUGAGCCCCUAAAUACCCUUCUCGAGGACCCUUCCCUGUCCCUUGGUUUCAGGCCCCUUUUGCCGGCCCUCUCCUCUGCCUCCCCUCUGAUCCCCUUAUGCCGUGGUAUCCUGGCAGUGUCUGGACCCUCUGCUUUCCCUGCUUCUCCCUAGCCUGCUCAAAUUGGUCCUGGCAGCCCGAUGCUCUCCCCCACUUCCGCACACAUGGAAUCCCCUCAUAGUACCCUCUUUGGCCCCUCCUUUGGUCUAGGUCCCUCUCUGAGGAUCUACUCACCUGGGGCAGAGGAGCGGAAUUGGCUGGUCUCUGUGCCCUGAAUGCUCCCUAUGAGAAACACAGCCCUGCCACUUGCCUGAGUCCCCUUCAUUGCCU